CUACGGGACGCUGCAGUGGGGAAUAUUGCACAAUGGAGGAAACUCUGAUGCAGCAACGCCGCGUGGAGGAUGACACUUUUCGGAGCGUAAACUCCUUUUAUAUAGGAAGAAGAUGACGGUACUAUAUGAAUAAGCGCCGGCUAACUCCGUGCCAGCAGCCGCGGUAAUACGGAGGGCGCAAGCGUUACUCGGAACCACUGGGCGUAAAGAGCGUGUAGGCGGAUUAAAAAGUCAGAAGUGAAAUCCUAUAGCUUAACUAUAGAACUGCUUCUGAAACUCUUAAUCUAGAAUAUGGGAGAGGUAGAUGGAAUUUCUGGUGUUGGGGUAAAAUCCGUAGAGAUCAGAAGGAAUACCGAUUGCGAAGGCGAUCUACUAGAACAUUAUUGACGCUGAGACGCGAAAGCGUGGGGAGCAAACAGGAUUAGAUACCCUCGUAGUC
This 439-nucleotide ribosomal RNA is filed under the name uncultured bacterium. RNAcentral describes it as "partial 16S ribosomal RNA". It matches the Rfam family "Bacterial small subunit ribosomal RNA", at positions 339 to 795 of the family's 1533-position model. The record is from RNAcentral.